AUGGCGUCCUCCUCCUCCGCGACGUCCGGCGACGACCGGCCGCCGGCCGGCGGGGGCGGGGGCGGGGGCGGGACCCCCGCGCAGGCGCACGCCGAGUGGGCCGCCUCGAUGCACGCGUACUACGCCGCCGCCGCCUCCGCCGCCGGGCACCCCUACGCCGCGUGGCCGCUGCCGCCGCAGGCCCAGCAGCACGGCCUGGUGGCGGCCGGGCCGGGGGCGGCGUACGGCGCGCCGGUGCCGUUCCCCAUGUACCACCACCCCGCGGCGGCGUACUACGCGCACGCGCACGCGCACGCCUCCAUGGCCGCGGGGGUGCCUUACAUGGCCGGUGAGUCUGCGUCGGCGGCGGGGAAAGGGAAGAGGGUGGGGAAGACACGGCGUGCCCCUUCCGGCGAGAUCAAUUCCAGUUCCGGGAGCGGCGAUGCCGGGAGCCAGGGGUCAUCGGAGAAGGGAGAUACAGGUGCCAAUCAGAAGGGCUCAUCAUCAUCCGCGAAGAGGAGGAAGUCCGGCGCUGCAAAUACAGAAGGUGAGCCAUCUCAGGCUGCCACAGUGCAGAAUGCUGCAACCCAGCCGCCAUUGGAAGACAAGGAGAGGUCUGCAUCCAAACUGUUGGUUUUGGCACCUGGGAGGGCGGCACUCCCCAGUGCUGCACCAAACUUGAAUAUUGGGAUGGAUCCCUUGAGCGCUUCUCCAUCCUCCUUGGUACAGGGGGAAGUGAACGCCGCAGCUUCUUCCCAGAGUAACGCUUCACUGUCUCAGAUGGAUGAACGGGAACUGAAGAGGGAGAGAAGGAAACAAUCCAACAGAGAGUCUGCAAGGCGAUCAAGAUUACGCAAACAGCAAGAAUGCGAAGAGCUAGCCCAGAAGGUGAGUGAGCUGACCGCAGCGAACGGCACGCUCAAAUCAGAACUCGACCAGCUUAAGAAGGACUGCAAAACCAUGGAAACAGAGAAUAAACAGCUGAUGGGUAAAAUACUAAGUCACGAUGAUAAAAUGCAGCAGUCAGAGGGCCCUAGUGUUGUGACUACCCUAAGCAUCCAGGUCGAAGCGCCCGAGCCGCAUCAGGGAGGAGACGGCAAAGCUUCAUAA
This 1089-nucleotide ribosomal RNA is filed under the name Triticum aestivum (bread wheat). RNAcentral's name for it is "partial small subunit ribosomal RNA". The record is from RNAcentral. Lineage: Eukaryota; Viridiplantae; Streptophyta; Magnoliopsida; Poales; Poaceae.